AUAAAUAGAACAAUAAUAAAAUUAAUAAAUUUUUCAACUUUCUUGUGGGUAUUCUUAAAAUUUAGUUUCAUUACUCUACACGUACAGUUUUGAUAUGCAUAUGUAUGAUAAUUCUCUCACCUACGCUGGAGCACAGCAACAAGAAAUCAGAGAGCCCAGGAACCCCCACCCCAGUUCAUAUUUUCACCUUCCAUCUUCCUUAUAUCACUAUAUUCAAACCCUAUACUAAACGGCCAAUCAGAACUCUCUUGACCCCAUGCCCAAAUGCUCUCUUCACCAUUCCCUGCUCCUUACCACCUCAAUUUGCAAACGUCUCUCUGCAAUCCCAAGUAAGCUUUCUUUUUCUUUCCCCUUCUCGUUUAAUCAAACCCAUCAAACAAAAUCANNN
Molecule: long non-coding RNA, 388 nt
Filed under: Carica papaya (papaya)
Lineage: Eukaryota; Viridiplantae; Streptophyta; Magnoliopsida; Brassicales; Caricaceae
Description: long non-coding RNA (CPAP_LNC010269)
Source: RNAcentral